AUGGCAGAAGUGAUGACCACGGAUCUCCCUGGAGACGGAUCAGCUGCCACCACAGAGGCCAUUCCUGAGCAGGCAGGGGACAGCACAGACACACAUCUAUUUGCCUGGCCUGACACUGCAGAGAGUGAGGACACCGCCCUUGACAGCCCCAGCAGCUCCACCUUGGAUGCUCUCCUGGAAGAACUCUCUGAGUACCUGGAGGACAGUGGCUGCCUUGACAAUCAAGUGGAGUUGGCACAGCAAGGGGACAAUGAGGACACCGUCUUGGCCGCCAAUGUCCCCAGCCUGACAGCUGAGGACUUCGAUGAGUUCAUUGAAUUCUGUGAAUUCCUGCUGGAAGACGACCAUCCCAAGAAGCCGGUGGUGGAGGACAGCUGGCAGCAGCCAGGCCAAGAGCUGUGCGCCAGCCAGCACCCCCACGAGCUAAGAGACCUUCCCGCAGGACCAUGGCCCAGCCGGCAAGAAAAAGACGACGGCAGUGAUGCAGCACCAAGGCCAGAAGACAAUCUGAGCCAGUGACCUACAUCCAGAGCCCCAGCCCUCUCCUACACUCCUCAUUCCCAUUUAGUCAUUAAAGGCUUGUUUUUCAUCUCCUCUCUCUGCUAGGGUUCAUAUUCACAGUGGGAGGGGGCCCCAUGUGGGUCCCACUGGGCUGGCGUAGGUGACAAAGAGGAUGGGGACAUUGUUCUGGGUGCUGGGCAUCUCUGGGGGAAACAAUACUGGUGAGAGUCCUCAGAGCAUCAAGCAGCAGGACAGGCACCACGGAGUCACCAGGAGCAGGGAGCACGGCGCUGGGCACGUGCUAAGCUUCCCACUUGGUUUGGCUGCCAGAGGCCAAGGAAAGAAGGAGCUGCCCCAAGCAGGGGAACCUUUCCUUGGCAGGGAGUGGAUGAGAUGGAACGUUGUGGGAUGGUUCUGUUGGGGAUUUGAAAUGUCCUGAGUGCUGCCAUAGGGAUUUCUCAUUUGCCACAGGGCAAUUUCUCAUCUCUAAAAGGACCAACUCUCUCUGCAGAGCAUCCUGGCUGGUUCUCUCACCCUGUCACUUGUCCCCCUCGGCCUGCUCCCCACAUUUUCUAUAUUGAGAAGGAUUUUCUGUGGUACGGAAUGUCCCUCCAACCAGUUCAGGUCAGCUGUCCUAGCCAUGCCCCCUCUCCCAGCCCCUUUAGGACAUAUCUCCCUUUGACGGGGUCUCUGUAAGGAGUAUUCAAGGCAGGUUGGAUGGGGCUUGGAGCAGCCUGGUCUGGUUGAAGGUGUCUCUGCCAUGGCACAAGGGUUGGAAUUGAAAUGACCUUUAAGGUCCCUUCCAUCCCAUACUGGUCUGGGUUCUUUGGCAGACACAGUGAGAGAGGGAACAGCUUGAAACAGUUUCAAAAACUAAAUUUUCCACUGGCCUAUAUUCUGUCAUCCCAUUUUACGAAAAAAACAAGAAAUCUAAAUUAAAAGGAGAUAUCAAGCAGGCAAGAAUCAUCUGCUGUAGCCAAAGGAAACUGAAUCUAACAUUUAACCCAUCUGGCUUAAA
RNAcentral lists this long non-coding RNA (1519 nucleotides) under Cyanistes caeruleus (blue tit). Its description in RNAcentral is "lncRNA (ENSCCEG00000020179.1)". Lineage: Eukaryota; Metazoa; Chordata; Aves; Passeriformes; Paridae. The record is from RNAcentral.